Molecule: non-coding RNA, 105 nt
Organism: Neophaeococcomyces mojaviensis
Lineage: Eukaryota; Fungi; Ascomycota; Eurotiomycetes; Chaetothyriales
Source: the annotation of a GenBank genome assembly
GCCUCUAUGGCGCAGUGGUAACGCGUCGCACUUGUACCACUAGCAGAUUCACUCUGCUUCAAGCCGUCAAUGCGAAGAUCUCCAGUUCAAUUCUGGAUGGAGGCA